Molecule: non-coding RNA, 27 nt
Filed under: Mus musculus (house mouse)
Lineage: Eukaryota; Metazoa; Chordata; Mammalia; Rodentia; Muridae
Source: RNAcentral
UGUACCAGGAGACCAUGCAGCAUUUGC